UAUACAAAAGCUGAUGUAAUUCAU
This 24-nucleotide non-coding RNA is filed under the name Arabidopsis thaliana (thale cress). The record is from RNAcentral. Lineage: Eukaryota; Viridiplantae; Streptophyta; Magnoliopsida; Brassicales; Brassicaceae.